GAUUCUACUCCGCACACAUACGUAAAACUUCAUAGCUUUCGCACGAUCUGACUGGACAAAGUAUCAUAUUCAAGCAUCAUACAAAUCAAGGAGUGCUGCUAAAGAAUACAAUAUUAUACUAUUAAUUAUUUCACCAUAACUACUGGAAAAGGAAGUAAGAUUAGACGUGAAGAAGUUUUAAUAAAAGUCAUUGAUAAUCAAACAGUAGAAAAGUUGAGUUGAUUAAUCACCAUUAUCGUCGAUUCGAGCUGAUUCAACACAAGAUUCAAUCAAUAUAGAUGAAGAUCAAAAUUCCCGAUUGAAUGAAACGCCUUGGCUUGUUAGUAUCAGAAUCAAUGGUGUUCAUUAUUGCAGUGGAGCGAUAGUUAGUAAUAGUUGGGUUAUCACAUCAUCCCAAUGUAUUUUUAAUAUCCAAGAAAUGAUACCAAUGGUUACAAUACAAACUUGUGACCUGAAUCUUUAUACACUGACUGAGACUUCUGUACACAGUCUGCCCAACUUAAUGAAUAGUGUGUGGCCAAAAUCAGGAAUUGCAAUGAUAAAAAUAUUUGGCACUUUUCGUUCUGACAGAUCUUGUUCCAUAAAACAUUUACAAAUAGGUGGUUCGUAUGCAAUAUCAUCUGGUGAAGAAUUUUCUAUUGCUAGUUGGGAACAAAAUGUUGUUGGAAAUAAAAUUAGGUCAAAUUCAAAAACUA
Cotesia glomerata is the source of this 695-nucleotide long non-coding RNA. RefSeq lists it as uncharacterized. NCBI's taxonomy places the organism in Eukaryota, Metazoa, Arthropoda, Insecta, Hymenoptera, Braconidae. The record is from RefSeq and is a predicted model, not a curated record. The transcript has 3 exons.